This 193-nucleotide unclassified non-coding RNA is filed under the name uncultured fungus. RNAcentral's name for it is "sequence contains ITS1". The record is from RNAcentral. Lineage: Eukaryota; Fungi.
GUCUCAUUUGUGGAUAGCUUACUCUGUCAAACACAACAAGCGCAAAUGUGAGUGGAUGAGUAGGGGUUAGGUGGUAGUGUUGGAGUGCCGAGGUGCAUCUUGCGACACAACCCCACCACACCCAACAAACCUCCCCUCCCCCACUACCACAAACCGAUUUGUAAUGAUCCUUCCGCAGGUUCACCUACGGAAA